GGGGCUAUGGCGCAGCUGGUAGCGCGCUUGCAUGGCAUGCAAGAGGUCACGAGUUCGAUCCUCGUUAGCUCCACCA
RNAcentral lists this transfer RNA (76 nucleotides) under Rickettsiales bacterium. RNAcentral's name for it is "tRNA-Ala". It matches the Rfam family "tRNA". From Rfam's summary of the family: Transfer RNA (tRNA) molecules are approximately 80 nucleotides in length. Their secondary structure includes four short double-helical elements and three loops (D, anti-codon, and T loops). Lineage: Bacteria; Pseudomonadati; Pseudomonadota; Alphaproteobacteria; Rickettsiales. The record is from RNAcentral.